This is a long non-coding RNA of Sander lucioperca (pikeperch), 3438 nucleotides long. RefSeq lists it as uncharacterized. The transcript is spliced from 2 exons. Lineage: Eukaryota; Metazoa; Chordata; Actinopteri; Perciformes; Percidae. The record is from RefSeq and is a predicted model, not a curated record.
AACUAGUGCGAUUGCUCUGGUGAGGCCUGUCCAGUCACACACAGUAUUAAUAUCCAGGCCAGCAGUGGCCUCUCCUCCUCAGUGCCCACUUGUGACCACCAAACGGGGUCCUAAUUGAAUUGAAUAUGCUCAAAUACUGAAGACAGACGUAACACAACAUGAUUACCAUAUCAGAUUAGAUGCAUCAUAUCUUUAAUUCUACAUUUCAUAAUUUUUUCAUCUUAUUUAUUUAUUUAUUUAUUUAUAUAUUUAUAUAUUUAUUUAUGUAUUUAUUUGAAUCCUUAGUUCCUUCCUCCCUUCUCUUUUUUGUUCCAUAUCCCCCCACCCUCCUGCCUCCCUCCAUGCACAUAUUAUUAUUGUAAUGACAGAAAGGUCCUGGCCCACAUCUCUUAUUUAUUUACAAAUGAUGAGUGCCUGGUUUUGAUGUGUUGGCAGUCAUAGUUCAUAGACGAGGUCCCGGGCUGCUGUCUGGGUGACUCGAUAAGCUCUCUGUUUGUUUUGUCCACGCUGCAGCGGCAGACAUUGCUCUUCCCGUCAGUGUACCUUUUGUCUCCACAGGCCAAACUCUGCUUGUGUGUUGUUGACGUGUCGUGCAACGCAAACCGAGAGGUUGAAUUGAAUACGAGUACAGGAGGUUGUUACGGAGCUGAUCCUCCUCUUUAUUCUAAUCACAGGUUUCACACAAUAGGCUGCAGUUUACCAAAGGCAUUAUCUGUAAGCCAUCAUUCACCUUUUUAACUGUUGACAUUUGGUUUGUGCUAAGUUAAUUUUUGAUUAGUUGAAAAUGAAUCGUUUCUGUGCAUAGGAAACAGGAAACGAGCUAUUUUGAAAUAGAGCAACAGUGAAUUGUGUCACAAAAGCAGCUGAGAUGUUAGGUGCAUCGUAGCUGGAUGCAAAAUUUCCAGGCCAGUGUUUGAGUGUGAGCUUUUGUGACUUUAUGUACGUUGGCUAUUGUAUUACCUUUCAGUAUUUCAAAGUUACCAUGCUGUAUUAUUUGGAUCAAAUGGCCCUCGAUUUACCUCUACCAAGGAGGUCAUGUUUUCGGUUCGGUUGGUUUGUUUACCUGUCUUUUUGUCAGCAGGAUUAUGGAAAAUCUACUGGCCUGAUGAUGAACCCAUUAAAUUUUGGGUGCAUACACAAAUUAUUUUUCACUUUCGUUAACAUUGCGAGAUAGGGCAUUUGGCCUUGGCGGAGGUCUGCACUCGCCCUUCUAGUUGUGAGAUGUUUCCAUACUAGCGUGUCAGCUUUUUCUCCCCUACCUCACGUCCAUCAAAGUGGAGUUAAAGUUUACAUAAAACUUGUUGUUGGGUCAUUUAUUAAAAGGGAGUCAACCCAGUUUCGGUAAUGAUCAGGUAUUGUCAUGUCAGUGCUCCCUCUCCUCCUCUCUCCAGUGCUCAUCAUUUAUUCAUCGAGCAUCACCUUCCAUGUCAUGUCUCAUGUUUCACAGAAAACAUUCGAGAUCAAUUCCUAAUGUAACCCGAGACGGCAUGUAACCGUUGUCAUGUGAAAGCCUUGCAACUCAAACCAUUUUUGAUUUUCACGUUGUAAACCUUUUUGAAGGCUUUUCUGCGGGAUGAGAAAGUUGUACUUGUACAAGUUGACAAAGUCUUCGCCUGUGACACUUUUUUUACUCAUGCAUUCAACUUUCUGCAUGGGCCGUUUUUUAAGCUUUAAGUAUUUCAACACAUCAGUUAAUUAUCAGUAAACGACAUGUAUAACGUAUCAUUUCAUCCAAGGAACUGAUAAUUCCUCUUCCUGACCUGAAGAAAUCAUACAUUUAAACAUCCCCGUUGCCUUAUUUCAGUUUCUGUACAAUGGUCGAACCGAAACGGGCCCCCUCUGUACUGAGUAACAUGAUGUGUUCAAACAAACCGUUCAAGAAGCUGCAGCAAAACAGUUAGGCAACUGCUGAUAACAGUGCCCAGUUUAACAUCGAUACAUUCCUAAGAAGCUUUUACACUUCUGUUGCAGCUGCUCCACCUCUCCCGUUCACCCUUGUUUAUCCAAUGUUCUUGUUGUCGGAGAGCUCUGGCACUAACCUGUUAAAGUGUAUCAGGCCGAGCAGUUUGAGCACCUCACCAUGCUUUGCAUUGUGUUUCUGGACAUGUACGUACUCUUAAAGAGACAGUAUUUCUUUUGUGAAGUUCCUUUUUAAGGAAUCAGAUUUUUUAUUAUUAUUUUCACCGUUAUCUGUGAUGUUGCAGCAUGAAUUAUCAUGUGUGGCUCUACGGUCUGGCUCUCUGAGAACAUUAUGACUAGUAUUACCCUUCCUGCCUUGCUUUUUGCUGCAGUGUGCCUGCCUUUUCAAUUUGUGAAAUUGACAAGAACAUAAUACAAAAUAUCAUUUUAUGCAUAACAGUAUUGCAAGUUGUUUUUAAUCAAAGAAAAAAAUGUAUUCAUACAGAUUUAAUAGUGUAUUUUUAUUACAGGAAUAUGAGCUCUUAUUAUGAAAGACUCCUUGAUCUUGUUGUGAUUUGCCAACUAUGUAAAUUAAAUGUAGCCUAUAGUAUAUAGUAAGAUUACAAUAUUUUAGGUUAACAUUCCAAACGAAACAUUGUUGUCUUGAGUAAUAAUGAUGUGCUAUUAUUUAUUUAGGGGAUCACACAAGUUUGUGCACAUUAGCCUGCUUUAACAAACAAUCACUGUAGCAAGAGAAAAAGGAUACUGUCUCUUUAAAUCUGUUUCUGCAUCUGUGAUUGGAUGUAAUUAAGGCCCUUUCUGGGAUAGCAGGUGUAAGGAUGGCCCUCUUUUGUUUUCUGUAACCCUUUGAGUGCUUGAACAAGAUCACUUUAUGUUUUUACAUGCAGAUUAAUGCAGAUAUUGUGAUCACCUUCUCUUAUUUUUCUAUUAGAAUAAACACAGGACUAAGAUAUUAUUUAUAUGUAAAUGUAUAAAGGUGGCAGACCUUUUAAAUUGUGGCUUUUACAUCCUCACUGCUCCUAAAGUGUAGUUUGUACACAGCCUUUCCAAACAAGCAUUGGUUUUUGGGAUGCUGUACCAAUUUUGUCCCCUCAGGUCCUCAAAGGGUUAAUGCUUCCUGCCUCGAGCUUGUUCUUUCAAUUAUCUUUUCAACCUGGCCUUCCAAGUGUUCUGUACUCUUAUCUUUACCAAAACACCUGUUGCUUUACAUCCUAAUAGUAAAACAAAGUUUGUCAUCUCCCCAGAAUUACUGAUUUUAGUCUGUGAAUGUGCCUUCUCAUUCUGGUUCCUGCUUCUAUAUCCUCUGAUUAUCUUUGUUUUCCUUCUUGCUGUUUGUUUUCUUCCUUUUCUCCUGACUCUGCAUGCCCUUGUAUUCUAAAUGACUGAAAUCUAAUUUUACAAGUGUUAGUUUGACAAACCUCUUGUAAUGAUAGACCUCUUUCACAGUACUUUGUGACCUUUCUCUCUUUCUCUCUACUCAUGUGAUCGUAAUAAAUAUUACUGUUGGUAUUGCUGAAA